This 432-nucleotide ribosomal RNA is filed under the name Triticum aestivum (bread wheat). RNAcentral describes it as "partial small subunit ribosomal RNA". Lineage: Eukaryota; Viridiplantae; Streptophyta; Magnoliopsida; Poales; Poaceae. The record is from RNAcentral.
CCAAUGCUGCCAAGAAAAUUCCUCCACCUCAAAUAUUUGGAUAUUAAAAUAUUGAGAUGGACCUUUCCCACGGCCUGUGAUAUUCUCUUGUUCAUUUCUUUCCUUGAUGCGUGUCCUUGCUUGGAGACCUUCAACCUAAAUACACCAAUGUGGCAACGAGAUCACGAUGAUUCGAUCGUUGAAGAUACCUCACAUUUGGGGCGGAUUCCAGGACGCUAUGACAAUCUGAGGCAUGUGAAGCUUACCAGUUUCUAUUCCACAAACCUCUUGGUUCAGCUCACAUGUCAUAUUCUGGAGCAUACACCAUCGCUCGAGUGCCUCACACUGGACAUAACUGAUGGUUGGCCAAGGUGUUCCGACAAAAGAAUUGGCAAAUGCUAUGUGAGCAGGGCUACUCUUGUGGAAGCCCCUAAAACGCUUGAGGCUAUCCGG